Molecule: ribosomal RNA, 336 nt
Filed under: Neoheterophrictus chimminiensis
Lineage: Eukaryota; Metazoa; Arthropoda; Arachnida; Araneae; Theraphosidae
Description: partial large subunit ribosomal RNA
Rfam family: Archaeal large subunit ribosomal RNA (bases 69-336)
Source: RNAcentral
UUAACAGGGAUCUUCUUUAUUAUUUUAAUUUCUAUAAAUUUAUUUAUAAGUAAAAAAGCUUAUAUUAACAAGGGGGACGACAAGACCCUGUUGAACUUUACAGAUUUGUUUAGCUGGGGCGGCAUAAAACUAAAUCUUUCAUCCAACUUUUACAACAUCCUUUAUUAUGAUAAGCAAGUUACCACAGGGAUAACAGCAUAAUUUCUUUCUAAAGACCUUAUCAAAAAAGAAGUUUGUGACCUCGAUGUUGAAUUAAUAUUCUAUAUGAAGCAGCAUUCAUACAAGAAAGUCUGUUCGACUUUUAAAAAAUUACGUGAUCUGAGUUCAGACCGGACC